UGAGAAUCCACAGAAAUUAGUGCGCCCGUCUAGAAGAAAGAGUUGCUGUGCGGCCAGAUUUGUAUACUGUCCUAAAUAUUUUUAAGUAGAUUAGCUCAUUUGAGUCUUUCGGCAUUUUUAAAAAUUGAAUUAAGUAUUAUACACGAAGAUAACUAUUCCCCCUUACGCUGUGGAUAAGAGUCAAUGGCUUGCGUUUCCAGGUCCCAGAGCAGUGAGCUAAAGAACUUGAAUUCAUUACAGCUUUUAUCUCAGUGGAGGAGUCAGGCAAGAAACAGAUAAAGAAAGGCAUAAUUUCGGAAAGUGGUAACUGCUCUAAAGAAAAAUAAAAGCGAGACUCUUCCUUUUAAGGAAACAAAGUCCUUGAAAACAUAGUUUGCUCAUUUUAAAUAUGAAGGAGUCUUUGGCAAUUUUCUCUAGAAGUUUCUCAGAAUGGAACAUCCAGGAAGCUGGAAGCCGUGUUGUGAGCUGCCCUAUGGAGAGGCCCACAUAGCAAGGAACUGAGGAAGGUGUGCAGCCAACAGCCAGCAAGGAACUGAGGCCCUCAAUUCAAUAACCCAUGAGCACUUGAACCCUGCUGAUGACCACCUGAGUGAAUGUGGAAGCAGCUCCUCCCUGAGUCCAGUCUGGAGAAGACCAGAGCCUUGUGAAAGCCCUGAGCCACAGGCCUCAGCUCAGCCACAUCCAGAUCCCUGGCCCACAGAAACUAAAGAUAACAAAUGUAGGUUGUUUUAAGCCACUAAAUUUUCCUUUAUAAAAUAAGUAAUAUAAUAAUUGGUACCCUAUGUUUUUAACUAUGACCAUUGUCUAAAACAAAUCUUGAUAUCCAGAAGCACAUGAAGUUUGCAACUUUCCACCCUGCCCAUUUUGUAAAACUGCAGUCAUUUUGGACAUUUUAAACACAAAUCUUAAACUCAACUAAGCUGUGAUACGUAGAAUGGUUACUGUUUAUAGUGUGUGUUUUUGUUUUUUUAAGUUGGCACCUGAGCUAAAAUCUGUGCCAAUCUUCUUUCGUUUUUUUUUUCUUCUUCUCCCCAAAGCCCCCCAGUACAUAGUUGUA
Molecule: non-coding RNA, 1057 nt
Organism: Equus caballus (horse)
Lineage: Eukaryota; Metazoa; Chordata; Mammalia; Perissodactyla; Equidae
Source: RefSeq, a predicted model, not a curated record